UACGUAGGGGGCUAGCGUUGCUCGGAAUCACUGGGCGUAAAGGGUGCGUAGGCGGUUUCUUAAGUCGGUGGUGAAAUCCUGGAGCUCAACUCCAGAACUGCCUUCGAUACUGGGAAACUUGAGUUCGGGAGAGGUGAGUGGAACUGCGAGUGUAGAGGUGAAAUUCGUAGAUAUUCGCAAGAACACCAGUGGCGAAGGCGGCUCACUGGCCCGAUACUGACGCUGAGGUGCGAAAGCGUGGGGAGCAAACAGG
RNAcentral lists this ribosomal RNA (253 nucleotides) under uncultured bacterium. Its description in RNAcentral is "partial 16S ribosomal RNA". It matches the Rfam family "Bacterial small subunit ribosomal RNA", at positions 524 to 776 of the family's 1533-position model. The record is from RNAcentral.